This 322-nucleotide ribosomal RNA is filed under the name uncultured Bacteroidota bacterium. RNAcentral describes it as "bacterial SSU rRNA". It matches the Rfam family "Bacterial small subunit ribosomal RNA", at positions 13 to 326 of the family's 1533-position model. Lineage: Bacteria; Pseudomonadati; Bacteroidota. The record is from RNAcentral.
UUGAUCAUGGCUCAGGAUGAACGCUAGCUACAGGCUUAACACAUGCAAGUCGAGGGGCAGCGGGAUUGAAGCUUGCUUCAAUUGCCGGCGACCGGCGCACGGGUGAGUAACGCGUAUCCAACCUUCCGUACACUCAGGGAUAGCCUUUCGAAAGAAAGAUUAAUACCUGAUGGUAUGAUGAGAUUGCAUGAUAGCAUCAUUAAAGAUUUAUCGGUGUACGAUGGGGAUGCGUUCCAUUAGGUAGUAGGCGGGGUAACGGCCCACCUAGCCAACGAUGGAUAGGGGUUCUGAGAGGAAGGUCCCCCACAUUGGAACUGAGACA